GAGCUGUGAGUUCAGAGUCUUCUACAUUGCUGUUAAUAUUCCGGACAAACAAUGUUCUCGAGGGAUGUUCA
Molecule: small RNA, 71 nt
Filed under: Arabidopsis thaliana (thale cress)
Lineage: Eukaryota; Viridiplantae; Streptophyta; Magnoliopsida; Brassicales; Brassicaceae
Description: ATSL021320
Source: RNAcentral